GACGAACGCUGGCGGCGCGCCUAACACAUGCAAGUCGAACGAGCGAGAGAGAGCUUGCUUUCUCAAGCGAGUGGCGAACGGGUGAGUAACGCGUGAGGAACCUGCCUCAAAGAGGGGGACAACAGUUGGAAACGACUGCUAAUACCGCAUAAGCCCACGGCUCGGCAUCGAGCAGAGGGAAAAGGAGCAAUCCGCUUUGAGAUGGCCUCGCGUCCGAUUAGCUGGUUGGUGAGGUAAUGGCCCACCAAGGCGACGAUCGGUAGCCGGACUGAGAGGUUGAACGGCCACAUUGGGACUGAGACACGGCCCAGACUCCUACGGGAGGCAGCAGUGGGGAAUAUUGCACAAUGGGGGAAACCCUGAUGCAGCGACGCCGCGUGGAGGAAGAAGGUCUUCGGAUUGUAAACUCCUGUUGUUGAGGAAGAUAAUGACGGUACUCAACAAGGAAGUGACGGCUAACUACGCGCCAGCAGCCGCGGUAAAACGUAGGUCACAAGCGUUGUCCGGAAUUACUGGGUGUAAAGGGAGCGCAGGCGGGAAGACAAGUUGGAAGUGAAAUCCAUGGGCUCAACCCAUGAACUGCUUUCAAAACUGUUUUUCUUGAGUAGUGCAGAGGUAGGCGGAAUUCCCGGUGUAGCGGUGGAAUGCGUAGAUAUCGGGAGGAACACCAGUGGCGAAGGCGGCCUACUGGGCACCAACUGACGCUGAGGCUCGAAAGUGUGGGUAGCAAACAGGAUUAGAUACCCUGGUAGUCCACACUGUAAACGAUGAUUACUAGGUGUUGGAGGAUUGACCCCUUCAGUGCCGCAGUUAACACAAUAGUAAUCCACCUGGGGAGUACGACCGCAAGGUUGAAACUCAAAGGAAUUGACGGGGGCCCGCACAAGCAGUGGAGUAUGUGGUUUAAUUUGACGCAACGCGAAGAACCUUACCAAGUCUUGACAUCCUGCGACGCACAUAGAAAUAUGUGUUUCCUUCGGGACGCAGAGACAGGUGGUGCAUGGUUGUCGUCAGCUCGUGUCGUGAGAUGUUGGGUUAAGUCCCGCAACGAGCGCAACCCUUAUGGUCAGUUACUACGCAAGAGGACUCUGGCCAGACUGCCGUUGACAAAACGGAGGAAGGUGGGGAGGACGUCAAAUCAUCAUGCCCUUUAUGACUCGGGCUACACACGUACUACAAUGGCGUUAAACAAAGAGAAGCAAGACCGCGAGGUGGAGCAAAACUCAGAAACAACGUCCCAGUUCGGACUGCAGGCUGCAACUCGCCUGCACGAAGUCGGAAUUGCUAGUAAUCGCAGAUCAGCAUGCUGCGGUGAAUAAAAUCCCGGGCCUUGUAC
Molecule: ribosomal RNA, 1336 nt
Filed under: uncultured bacterium
Lineage: Bacteria
Description: 16S ribosomal RNA
Rfam family: Bacterial small subunit ribosomal RNA
Source: RNAcentral